This 505-nucleotide ribosomal RNA is filed under the name uncultured bacterium. Its description in RNAcentral is "partial 16S ribosomal RNA". It matches the Rfam family "Bacterial small subunit ribosomal RNA", at positions 28 to 507 of the family's 1533-position model. The record is from RNAcentral.
GACGAACGCUGGCGGCGUGCCUAAUACAUGCAAGUAGAACGCACAGUUUAUACCGUAGCUUGCUACACCAUAGACUGUGAGUUGCGAACGGGUGAGUAACGCGUAGGUAACCUGCCUGGUAGCGGGGGAUAACUAUUGGAAACGAUAGCUAAUACCGCAUAAUAUUAAUUAUUGCAUGAUAAUUAAUUGAAAGGUGCAAUUGCACCACUACCAGAUGGACCUGCGUUGUAUUAGCUAGUAGGUGAGGUAACGGCUCACCUAGGCGACGAUACAUAGCCGACCGGAGAGGGUGAUCGGCCACCCUGGGACUGAGACACGGCCCAGACUCCUACGGGAGGCAGCAGGAGGGAAUCUUCGGCAAUGGACGAAAGUCUGACCGAGAAACGCCGCGGGAGUGAAGAAGGUUUUCGGAUCGUAAAGCUCUGUUGUAAGAGAAGAACGGGUGUGAGAGUGGAAAGUUCACACUGUGACGGUAUCUUACCAGAAAGAGACGGCUAACUACGUG